This 272-nucleotide ribosomal RNA is filed under the name uncultured bacterium. RNAcentral describes it as "partial 16S ribosomal RNA". It matches the Rfam family "Bacterial small subunit ribosomal RNA", at positions 337 to 601 of the family's 1533-position model. The record is from RNAcentral.
ACCUACGGGACGCAGCAGUAGGGAAUCUUCCACAAUGGACGAAAGUCUGAUGGAGCAACGCCGCGUGAGUGAAGAAGGGUUUCGGCUCGUAAAGCUCUGUUGGUAGUGAAGAAAGAUAGAGGGAGUAACUGGCCAUUAUUUGACGGUAAUUAAUUAGAAAGUCACGGCUAACUACGUGCCAGCAGCCGCGGUAAUACGUAGGGGGCAAGCGUUGUCCGGAUUUAUUGGGCGUAAAGCGAGCGCAGGCGGUGUAAUAAGUCUGUUGUGAAAGC